This 516-nucleotide unclassified non-coding RNA is filed under the name uncultured Paraglomus. Its description in RNAcentral is "bacterial SSU rRNA". It matches the Rfam family "Eukaryotic small subunit ribosomal RNA", at positions 569 to 1086 of the family's 1831-position model. Lineage: Eukaryota; Fungi; Glomeromycota; Glomeromycetes; Paraglomerales; Paraglomeraceae. The record is from RNAcentral.
AGCAGCCGCGGUAAUUCCAGCUCCAAUAGCGUAUAUUAAAGUUGUUGCAGUUAAAAAGCUCGUAGUUGAACUUCAGGCCUGUCCAGAUGGUCCGCCUUAAUUGGUGUGUACUGUCCUUGGGUGGGUCCUACCUUCUGGCGAAGCGGCAUGGCCUUAGUUGGUUGUGUCGGGGAACCAGGACUUUUACUGUGAAAAAAUUAGAGUGUUCAAAGCAGGCAAAUAUGCUCGAAUACAUUAGCAUGGAAUAAUGGAAUAGGACGAUGGUUCUAUUUUGUUGGUUCUAGGACCGUUGUAAUGAUUAAUAGGGAUAGUUGGGGGCAUUAGUAUUCAAUUGUCAGAGGUGAAAUUCUUGGAUUUAUUGAAGACUAACUACUGCGAAAGCAUUUGCCAAGGAUGUUUUCAUUAAUCAAGAACGAAAGUUAGGGGAUCGAAGACGAUCAGAUACCGUCGUAGUCUUAACCAUAAACUAUGCCGACUAGGAAUCGGGCGAUGUUGACAAAAUGACUCGCUCGGGCA